UCCAAAUCUGCCGGACAAAGCCGUCAUUAUCAACGCGCUCUUUGAUUACCUGACCGUGUCUGCUGAGCAGAAUAAAUUCACAGAGUUCCUGACCAACCUUACCGUGUUCAUUCACCCGGAAAACUUCACUUGCUCUUCAUACAAAACGCUGUUUGCCAGACUGGACUUGGCCCUACCUGUGGUUUCCCUUGGCAUCGCUACAACUAUCACACAGACUAAAGAGGCUCUAUCCCACCAACUACCACCUGACUGCAUCAUUUACAGUGGACAGGUAAUUGUAUGUUUUAGAUUAUUUGUUUUGUCUUACAUUAGUCUUAAUAUAGUAGAUUUGUAACGCGCUCUGUUUUUGUUUCUCUUACAAGUGUAAUGUCAGCGUGGCAAAUGGUAAGUUCUUC
This is a long non-coding RNA of Oreochromis aureus, 395 nucleotides long. Lineage: Eukaryota; Metazoa; Chordata; Actinopteri; Cichliformes; Cichlidae. The record is from Ensembl.